Molecule: small RNA, 1791 nt
Filed under: Pan troglodytes (chimpanzee)
Lineage: Eukaryota; Metazoa; Chordata; Mammalia; Primates; Hominidae
Description: retained intron
Source: RNAcentral
ACGUGUCAACUCUGCUUAAUUAAGCACUUUGAUGAUUUAAGAAAUCUUGGAAAUCCUUUUGUACUAUUGCUCAUUCAUACUUGUUCAUCAAAGCCUGGAGUCCUUAAGGACAGAAUUUACCUCUAAACAGAAAGAUGGAAACUAAAGUACAUUUAUUCUGCCAGGCAGAGAAAAAUAUUGACUUAUUAGAUGAUGGCUCUAAUUCUUUUGCAACUGACUUGUCAUCAGGAACUAUUAACCACAAGAAAUACAUCAAGUUUUCUAAAACAAUAGAGAAGAAAAUUUCACUGGAAAUUAGGAGUUUGAGCCCAGAAUAUAAAAAAAUAUUUGAAACAUCAAUAAUCCUUUGUGGAGAAGAAAAGUCCUCUGAUUUUUCAGGAGAAAAAAAAGUUGGGAGAAAGAGUUUACAAGUACAACAGCACAGUAAAAGAACUGAGAUUAUCCCUCCUUUUCUGAAGCUGUCAAAGGAGAAGGUGACAAGGAAAGAAAACUCUUUAUGCAAGUUGCCGAAUCAGUACAGCGUUCACAAGACUUCAUCACCUCUUUGUACAUCUUCUGCAAUUACUCGGGAAAAAGAAAUGCUGUCUAACCUCUACAUGACAUUAUAUGAUGAAGUAACCCAUGGAUAUUUACACUCAAAAGAAUUAAGUGCAUUCCAGGAUGCCUUGAAGAUUUUCUGUAGGAUAAAAGGUGGUCGAGUUUCAACUGAUGACGUGUUUGCUGUUUUGGAUAGCAUGGGUAUCCCUAUAAACCGUGAAAUUUUAGAAGAAGUGACAAAACAUACCUAUAUUGACAGUAACCACAUGGUGGAUAUUGGGGAUAUUAUAUUUACUUUGAAUGAGCUACAGGAACAGUAUGAGGAUGUUUCAAUUACAGAAAGAUCACCUUUGAAUGAAAUUACUUCAGACAGAAAGUUAUCAAGUAUAGCAGGAUGCUAUCUAAAAUAUAAGAAGAAAAAUAGUUUGUCUUCCAAACUCCCUGAACCUUCAAUAUCCAAAAAGUUAAAUAAAAAAAGCAACCAAUAUUAUAGCAAAAUUAUGGAGAAUGAUGACCUUGAAUCUAAAAGACCAAAAAAUACUUGGCAAAUAAGAAAAUUUCUGGGUGGGGUUGGCAGCAGUAAUGUAGGAGUCCAAGAACCAUAUUCAAAGAAUGGCAUAAACUUUAAAAAACAUUCAGAGAAGGGUGAAAUUCAUGACUCAAAGUCUAAACCACAAAGCUUGAAGAGUAGUACAAGCCUCAGUAAGUCUCUGGAUAAAAGUGAUAUUUGUAGUAUCCCAAAACUUCAGAAGCCAGCUGUAAGAAAGCAUUCCAGUCUCCAAAAACAGGUUUCGUCUACGGAAAAAACUGCAAUUAGUACUCUGGAAAACUUCUGUGAAGCUAUCAGUAAACUUCAAGAAAAUUACAUUGCAGCAGAAGAACUUCAGUCUAUUUUGCCUUCAACAGGAAUUAAUUUAUUAGAUGAAGAAUUCCAGAAGAUUGUGACAGACACUAGUAGAAAUGAGAAUGGAAUGGUGGAGUUAGAUGACUUUAUAAGUGCUCUCUCCAAGGAGCGAAGUUUUCCUGAAUGCAAUGCGUUGCCUGGUGUCAUUAAAGCCAUUGAUAAAAUUAAAGAUAAAAAUGUGGAUUAUGAGGAUCUAAAUACUUGUCUUCAAAAUUUUUGUAUUUACCUUUCUAAGCCAGAAUUUAAGAAGAUCACAGAACUGACUGAAGCUGGUGAAACAAAAAAAGUGAAUUUUAAAGAAUUCAUUGAUACUAUGAUGAGCAACACGGAAUGCUUCUCUGAAAAAUUAU